UAGGGAAUCUUCGGCAAUGGACGGAAGUCUGACCGAGCAACGCCGCGUGAGUGAAGAGGGUUUUCGGAUCGUAAAGCUCUGUUGUUAGAGAAGAACGUUGGUAGGAGUGGAAAAUCUACCAAGUGACGGUAACUAACCAGAAAGGGACGGCUAACUACGUGCCAGCAGCCGCGGUAAUACGUAGGUCCCGAGCGUUGUCCGGAUUUAUUGGGCGUAAAGCGAGCGCAGGCGGUUCUUUAAGUCUGAAGUUAAAGGCAGUGGCUUAACCAUUGUACGCUUUGGAAACUGGAGGACUUGAGUGCAGAAGGGGAGAGUGGAAUUCCAUGUGUAGCGGUGAAAUGCGUAGAUAUAUGGAGGAACACCGGUGGCGAAAGCGGCUCUCUGGUCUGUAACUGACGCUGAGGCUCGAAAGCGUGGGGAGCGAACAGGAUUAGAUACCCUGGUAGUCCACGCCGUAAACGAUGAGUGCUAGGUGUUAGGCCCUUUCCGGGGCUUAGUGCCGCAGCUAACGCAUUAAGCACUCCGCCUGGGGAGUACGACCGCAAGGUUG
This 550-nucleotide ribosomal RNA is filed under the name uncultured bacterium. RNAcentral's name for it is "bacterial SSU rRNA". It matches the Rfam family "Bacterial small subunit ribosomal RNA", at positions 355 to 896 of the family's 1533-position model. The record is from RNAcentral.